RNAcentral lists this ribosomal RNA (253 nucleotides) under uncultured bacterium. RNAcentral describes it as "partial 16S ribosomal RNA". It matches the Rfam family "Bacterial small subunit ribosomal RNA", at positions 524 to 776 of the family's 1533-position model. The record is from RNAcentral.
UACGGAGGGUGCAAGCGUUAUCCGGAUUCACUGGGUUUAAAGGGUGCGUAGGCGGGUAAGUAAGUCAGUGGUGAAAUCUCCGGGCUUAACUCGGAAACUGCCGUUGAUACUAUUUAUCUUGAAUAUCAUGGAGGUAAGCGGAAUAUGUCAUGUAGCGGUGAGAUGCUUAGAUAUGACAUAGAACACCGAUAGCGAAGGCAGCUUACUACAUGUUAAUUGACGCUGAGGCACGAAAGCGUGGGGAGCAAACAGG